GUUGGGUGGGAGCCCUGAAGAGCCUGUGGAAAGGAAGAGUCUCUAGCUAGGAGCCAGGGCUGCCCUGGCCAGGAAAGACCUGUGGCUGCAGGGAGAGAAAGGAGCUGGACCCUCUGGCUUGUUUUGGGAAGCCACCCCGGGCAGAGGCCCUGACUUUGCACUGACAACAACCCCACCCCAAUCUGGGCCAAGCCCCCCAUGUCCCCCUGAGACGACAGUCUCCCCAGAGAAGUAUGCUAGCCGGGUGGGUUUGGAUCCCUUGUUUUUGUACCCUGAUUUCCAAAGUCUCCCCAAAAGAAGAGCUGGCCCAGAAACACAUCAGCCUGUCCCAGCAAGGACUGGAGGGGCAGGUUUAUUGAGCCUCUCCCCCCUCCACACACACACACACACAGUGCUUCCCAAGAGAGACUCCAAACAAGCCCUGGGACCUUCUUCACAGACUGCCAACUGGCUGUGAAGCCCCAAAUCAGGAGAUGGUAGAAGAGAAGGUGGUCUCCAGGUUGUGAGAUGCCCCACACUCCCCUCCCCCGCCCAGGCAUACCCGUGGCAUCGCUUGGGAAGGAGACCCCCAGAAAAUCAGCAGGAGCCCUGGGAGCAACGGGAAACAGUUUGGGGCCCCCAGCCCCACUGAGGCGGGCAUGGGAAGGGGGCCCGUAUUUCUUUCACAGCGGCCAUCACUGGUAUCACAUUUCCCUGGCCAGUCCAGCUGGGCUACCAUGUUGGGCUCCAAGAUGCCCCGUCCAGCAAAGAGGAGAAGGUGGCACGAGACGAGGCCCCUGCCCCCAAUGCCCAACCCGGGGCUCUGCCAGACCAGCAGUUCUGGCCGAGGGCGGGUGCAGGGCUGGCGGGUGAAUUUCCUAACCCCAGCAGAGGCGACCGCACGGCAAACACAGCAAAUGGGGGCCGGAGGGACGGAAGCCCCCCUGGCCUGGCCCGGCCCCUCCCAAACCCCCCUCCGCAGAACUUUGACCGCGCAGCCCCGGGGGGGGGGAUGGAGGAGGGUAUAAAGGGGGAGCUGCGGCCGCCCCUUCGCCAGUCCGGACAGCUCCUCGGGGAAGCCCAGCCAGAAGGACCCCCGAGGGAAGAUGAGAGUCCCGCUUCUGCUGCUGCUGGCGCUGCUGGCGCUGCUGGCCACCGUUGCACGCGCGGAGGAAGACCAGGAGACGCCGAGGAGCCGUUUCCAGGGCCUUGUCCAGAAGGCACAAGAGCGUGUCGCCACUUUCCAAACAACGGCCGUUUACCAGCAAAUGAGGUGAGUCUGGGGGGGGGGGCUCUCUGGCAUUUUGCGGGUGAGGAGGAGAACGCAGGCGCUGCACGGCCCUCGGGGGCUACUCCUCCUGUGAGCGAUGUGGCUGGGCAUGAAGUCCCCGGAGGGCAGAGCUGGCUGCUGGAGAGCCAGUCGUGGAUCACGUUGCCUGUGUGGCUUCCAGAGAACCGGGGCGCCUGUCCCUGCACCUCCAGGCUGCCCCCCAAUUGGUCAAGACUGUGACCGGAUUCUCGUUUUGUAGAAAGCCUUGCUUUGGCCAGCAAGGGCAAUCGGCUGGCUGACCGUGUAAAUUCUGCUCCUAGCCCCUGAAUCUUUGCAGCUGCAGAGACGCCCUUUGGGCUCAGGGCGCAUCCAGCCCAACAGGGCCUCUCAUGGGAGGCGGGGGAUUCUGUUCCCUGAACUCGCUUUUCUCCCCUUCUCACCCCACCUUAACUCUCUCCAGGGAACUGGUAGAGUCUAGCAUUGAACGCACCCUGAAAGCGAUUGAACAACUAAAGGCUCAAGUUGGAAACUUGCUGGAGAGAAAUCCAGCAUGAGUCUGGAGCCCCAUUCCACACCCAGGAGCCCAACGGAGCAAUGGCCACCCUAGCCGUCCUCAGGAGCAGGGGCAGCUCUCCCUACUCCUGGGAUCCCAGCUCUUCUACUCCCCCCCCAAGACCCCUCCCCCUUUCUGGCUUCUCUCUCGUGUGGAAUUUUCCUCAUUAAAACUAGUGGAACAGUUGCAUGCUUGGCUUUCU
Molecule: long non-coding RNA, 2004 nt
Organism: Naja naja (Indian cobra)
Lineage: Eukaryota; Metazoa; Chordata; Lepidosauria; Squamata; Elapidae
Source: Ensembl